Molecule: ribosomal RNA, 443 nt
Filed under: uncultured bacterium
Lineage: Bacteria
Description: SSU rRNA
Rfam family: Bacterial small subunit ribosomal RNA
Source: RNAcentral
AGAGCGAACGCUGGCGGCAUGCUUAACACAUGCAAGUCGCACGGUCAGCAAUGGCAGUGGCGGACGGGUGAGUAACACGUAGGAAUCUAUCCUGGGGUGGGGGACAACAGUGGGAAACUACUGCUAAUACCGCAUGAUACCUGAGGGUCAAAGGCGCAAGUCGCCUUGGGAGGAGCCUGCGUCUGAUUAGCUUGUUGGUGGGGUAAAGCCUACCAAGGCUACGAUCAGUAGCUGGUCUGAGAGGAUGAUCAGCCACAUUGGGACUGAGACACGGCCCAAACUCCUACGGGAGGCAGCAGUGGGGAAUAUUGGACAAUGGGGGCAACCCUGAUCCAGCAAUGCCGCGUGGAUGAUGAAGGCCUUCGGGUUGUAAAGUCCUUUCGGCGGGGAAGAUGAUGACGGUACCCGCAGAAGAAGCCCGGCUAACUCGUGCCAGCAGCCGC